Molecule: ribosomal RNA, 911 nt
Filed under: uncultured Bacillota bacterium
Lineage: Bacteria; Bacillati; Bacillota
Description: bacterial SSU rRNA
Rfam family: Bacterial small subunit ribosomal RNA
Source: RNAcentral
UGGAUCCAGACUUUGAUUAUGGCUCAGGACGAACGCUGGCGGCGUGCCUAACACAUGCAAGUCGAGCGGGGAUGGUAAGGAGCUUGCUUCGGACCAUUCUAGCGGCGGACGGGUGAGUAACGCGUGAGCAAUCUGUCCUGCACAGGGGGAUAACACUUGGAAACAGGUGCUAAUACCGCAUAAGACCACGGAGCCGCAUGGCGCAGGGGUCAAAGGAGCAAUCCGGUGCAGGGUGAGCUCGCGCCCCAUUAGAUAGUUGGCGGGGUAACGGCCCACCAAGUCGACGAUGGGUAGCCGACCUGAGAGGGUGAUCGGCCACACUGGGACUGAGACACGGCCCAGACUCCUACGGGAGGCAGCAGUGGGGAAUAUUGGGCAAUGGGCGAAAGCCUUACCCAGCAACGCCGCGUGAGGGAAGAAGGUUUUCGGAUUGUAAACCUCUGUCCUGGGGGACGAAGGAAGUGACGGUACCCCGGGAGGAAGCCCCGGCUAACUACGUGCCAGCAGCCGCGGUAAUACGUAGGGGGCGAGCGUUGUCCGGAAUUAUUGGGCGUAAAGGGCGCGUAGACGGCCGAGUAAGUUAUAGGUGAAAGCCCAUCUUUCAAGGAUGGAAUUGCCUGUAAUACUGCCUGGCUUGAGUGCAGGAGAGGGAAGCGGAAUUCCUAGUGUAGCGGUGAAAUGCGUAGAUAUUAGGAGGAACACCAGUGGCGAAGGCGGCUUUCUGGACUGUAACUGACGUUGAGGCGCGAAAGCGUGGGGAGCAAACAGGAUUAGAUACCCUGGUAGUCCACGCCGUAAACGAUGGAUGCUAGGUGUGGGAGGUAUCGACCCCUUCCGUGCCGGAGUUAACGCAAUAAGCAUCCCGCCUGGGGAGUACGGCCGCAAGGUUGCAACUCAAAUGAAUUGACGGA